CACGUAGGCACCAAGCGUUGUCCGGAUUUAUUGGGCGUAAAGAGCUCGUAGGCGGUCUGUCGCGUCGGCUGUGAAAACCCGGAGCUCAACUCCGGGCCUGCAGUCGAUACGGGCAGACUGGAGUUCGGCAGGGGGAGACUGGAAUUCCUGGUGUAGCGGUGAAAUGCGCAGAUAUCAGGAGGAACACCGGUGGCGAAGGCGGGUCUCUGGGCCGAUGACUGACGUGAGGAGCGAAAAGCGUGGGGAGCGAACAGG
This 255-nucleotide ribosomal RNA is filed under the name uncultured bacterium. RNAcentral describes it as "partial 16S ribosomal RNA". It matches the Rfam family "Bacterial small subunit ribosomal RNA", at positions 524 to 776 of the family's 1533-position model. The record is from RNAcentral.